AGGAAACUGUAAAGGAGCUAGUGGAGCAGCUCACUCCACUUAUUCCGAGACCACAACGGAAUGAUGGAAUAUUUGCGGAGACGAAGAUUCUGAUAGCCUUAGCAUUUUAUACACCAUCUCAUACCAGACAUUAGUUGGGCAGAGUGCCCUCCACAGAAGACUGUGUCAAGAGCUGUGAGGCAAGUUACAGAGACACUCAAUGCCAAAUUUAACAAAUGGCCCAUCCAGCAUGACCGGAAUGCCAUGAAAGCUAAAUGUUUGCUCCGAGCACAUGCUUUGCAUUACAGUCCAAUCACCACAGGCAAGAUUGUGAAUGCAUGUUAUAUUUUGCACAGUAUUGCAAACAAGACCAACGCACGUGCCUCCACUCAUGCCUGUGGAAGCUCUUCAUCUGCAACAGGAUGAACACAAUUCAAGGGCCGAGAGUUGGAAAGUGCUAUUGAAGGACAGCAUUCACAAAGCCAUCGAGUUAACCAAGGUCUGCUUGAAGGUAGGGUGCUGCAGCAGGCUCUCAUCAACAGGCUGUGGAGAAAUGCAUGAAAUUAAUAAUAAAUAAUUGAAAUAAAUGAUUUUGAAUUUU
Long non-coding RNA from Maniola jurtina (meadow brown), 580 nucleotides. RefSeq lists it as uncharacterized. NCBI's taxonomy places the organism in Eukaryota, Metazoa, Arthropoda, Insecta, Lepidoptera, Nymphalidae. The record is from RefSeq and is a predicted model, not a curated record. The transcript has 4 exons.